UACGUAGGGUGCAAGCGUUGCCCGGAUUUAUUGGGCGUAAAGGGCGCGCAGGCGGCCGCGCACGUUCGUUGUGAAAUCGCCCGGCUCAACUGGGCGGGGUCAGCGAAUACGGCGUGGCUGGAGCAAGCUAGGGGGCAAUGGAAUUCCCGGUGUAGUGGUGGAAUGCGUAGAUAUCGGGAGGAACACCAGUGGCGAAGGCGGUUGCCUGGAGCUUUGCUGACGCUGAGGCGCGAAAGCGUGGGGAGCGAUCCGG
This 253-nucleotide ribosomal RNA is filed under the name uncultured bacterium. Its description in RNAcentral is "partial 16S ribosomal RNA". It matches the Rfam family "Bacterial small subunit ribosomal RNA", at positions 524 to 776 of the family's 1533-position model. The record is from RNAcentral.